This 4438-nucleotide long non-coding RNA is filed under the name Sus scrofa (pig). RNAcentral describes it as "lncRNA (ENSSSCG00045003545.1)". Lineage: Eukaryota; Metazoa; Chordata; Mammalia; Artiodactyla; Suidae. The record is from RNAcentral.
AAUCCCAGGAAAGGCAGGAGGGCACUCCUCCAAUGGGAACCUGGAGCCGUCGGUAGCGGUGGCGGCCUGCGACCUCGCAAUAGCUCCGGCAGGCGGGAGGGACGCGUCCAGUGCUUUCGCGAGGUCCUGCUGCCUGCCGCUGGAACCUGGUCGAGCGAGGCAGCGGCGACGCCGACGGUCUGAAGUUCCCGGUCAGCGGGUUGCGGAGGAUCGUGCGGGUAGCAAAGGGAGGGCGAGUGCUCCUGCGGCCCCAGACGGCAACCAGAACAUACAUCAUUGUUAGAAUCAUCACCCUGCAGCUAGCUUGGACACCAUUAAAAGGGCUCAUCAACUGCAAACGGAUAGAAGUAUCUGAUAUUCGUGAAGACAGAGUUUCAGGGCUUCUGCCUGGAGCUACACUCUCCAGAAGCCCCUGCUUGGCCUCUCUGCACCCAACCCCACCCCAACCAGUCACAGCUUGGGUCGUGUGUGGUGUUUCUUGGCAACUGGAAAACAGACUCCUCCAGCAGCUCCACAGGCCCCUUGUCCUCACUGAGCAGAAGACUACAGAAGCUGGCUACUGAAGAAGCUGUCCAAGUCUUAGAGCUCCUCCUUGGCCCUGCUUAGCACACUUACCACAGAGCAGUAACCGAGUGCUGGCUGUUACUCAUUUGCGCUUACUACCUGCAGGGACUUCAGAGGGAUUUGUCAGACCCCAUUUCACCCUAAGGCCACUCCCUAAGAAUCUCCACAGGAGGCUACCCAUAGAGAGAGGUGGCUUGCCUAGGGUCUCCACUGCCUUAGGUCAUACGUGGACACUUCCAGGGCUAAGGGGAUUAAUAUCUUUUUGCCUACCUGUAACCCACAUAUCCAUUGGAAAAUUCUGCCUCCUGCUAUUUUCUGUUCUUUUAUUUGUUUUUUGGUAGGAAGAGUUUUAACUACUUCUUCAGUUCCUUUAAUAGUUGGAGGAUUAUUCAGGAUUUCUUUUUCUUCUUGCGUUAAUUUUGGUAAGUUAUAGUUUUCUAGGAAUUGGUCCAUUUUGUCUGUGUUCUCAAACUUGUCGGCAUAAAGUUUCCUUGUUUUUUUGUUCUCUGUUCUAUCUGUAGUUAUGUCUCCUUUUUCAUUGCUGAUAUUGGUUAUUUGUGCUUUCUCACUUUUUUUCUUGAUCAAUCUCUCCAGAGGUUUGUCUAUUUUAUUAGUCUUUUCAAAGAACCAGCUUUUGGCUUUGUUGCUCCUCUCUAUUGUGUCUUUGUUUUCUAUUUCUUUAAUUUCUGCUCUUAUCUUUUUUGAUCUCCUUCCUUCCACAUUUUUUGGAUUUAUUCUGUUGUUCUUUUUCUAAUUUCUUAAAUUGGGCACAGAGCUCAUUAAUUUUUGUGCAUUUAAGGACAUAACUUUCCCUCUAACUACUGCUUUUCUUCAAGUUCAGACAUGUCGUAUUUUAUUAUUGUUCGGUUCCAAGUACUCAGCAUUUCCAUCGUGGUUACUUCUUUGACCUGCGAGAAGUGUGUUUCUAAAUAUUUGGAGAUUUAAAAUUUUACCUCUUUGUUAUUGAAAUUUGUCUUAAUUGCAUUAUGAUCAGAGGAUGUGAUCUGUGUGAUAAAAGCUCUGAAAUUUAUUGAGACUUGUUUUAUGGCUUAGUACGUGAUCAGUAUUUUUGAAUGUUUCCUAUGUGAUUUAUAAGAAUGUAUGUUCUCUAAUUGUUGAAUACAGAGUUCUACAUAUGUCUAUUAUCAAGUUUGUUAAUUGUAUUGUUCACAUUUUCUAUAUCUACUGAUUUUCGGGGGGUCGUACUAUACCAUGAAUUGUAAGGUGUGUUAAUAUUCAGUUCUGAUGGUGGAUUUAUCUGUUUCUUCUUGUAAUUCUCUUUUUCUUUACAUGUUUUGAGGGUAUUUUAUUAGGAAUAUUCAAAUCAAGAAUUGUUAUAUAUUCCUGCUAAACAUGUAUGACGUUCUCUAUUCCUGAUAAUGCAUUUUUCCUUGAAGUCUAUUGUAUCUUACAGUAAUAUAGAAACACAGACUUUUCUCCUGUUAGGAUUUGUGUUACUUUGAAACAUUUUCAUGCCUUAAUACUUUAAUUAUGUCUCUUGGGAAUGGCAUACAGCUGGACCUUUUAAAAAUCGAAUCUAAUGCUCUCUAUCUUUUAAUGGGCAAGUUUAGUCUGUUUACAUAUAUUGUGAAAUAUUUGGAUUUUUCUCUACCGUCAUAGUUUUUUAUUUCUAUUUCCUACCACCACCUUUGUGAUGCUUCAUUUUUCUCUUUUUUUGCCUGCUUUUUUCAUUUGUUUGUUUCCUUAUUCUAUUUUUUUCCUCAUUGCGGUUUGGAAUUUACCUGUUCUUUUCCCAUUAUUUCUGUGGUUAUCCUUGAGGUUUUGCUGUGCACAUAUAAGUUUUUAAGUUAAAACAGUGCUGGAGUUCCCAUCAUGGUGCAGUGGAAACGAAUCCGACUAGGAACCAUGAGGUUGCGGGUUCGAUUCCUGACCUUGCUCAGUGGGUUAAGGAUCCGGCAUUGCCAUGAACUGUGGUGUAGGUCGCAGACAUGGCUUGGAUCUAAUGUGGCUAUGGCUGUGGUGUAGGCCUGCAGCCGUAGCUCCAAUUCGACCCCUAGCCUGGGAACCUCCAUGUGCCAUGGGUAUGGCCCUAAAAAACAAACAUAAAUCAAUCAAUCAAUAAAGUUAAACAGUACUUUAACAUCCUUCUUGAAUGCGAGAAGCUUAGAAACAUUCAACUCUAGUCAUUCCUCUCUUGGACCACGUGUUAUUUUUUUGAGUAUAUUUAUUUCCUCCCUUUCCCCCCCUAACCUCACAAAUUCUAUAUCAUCCUUAGUAUUAUUUUAUGUAGAUGGUGUGUGUUUGGAUUUUCAUGCAUAUAUUCUUGCAUCUCAGACCAUCAUUCUGGGAUCAUUUUCCUUCAUUAUGAAUACAGUGUUGAGAUGCCCUUUUAGUACAGAUUUGUUGGUGUUAAAUUCUCCCAGUCUUUAUUAUAUGUAAAUGUCUUUAUUCUAUACUCAUUCUUAAAAGAUAGAUUGUUAUAGGUAAUAUUAGAAGUCCAUUGUCAGUCUAAUUACUAUUUUUGUAGGUGUUUUUGUUUUCUGGGUAUUCUCAAGGUCUCUCUCUCUCAUGGAGGAGAAUGUUCAGGGGGUUCUGCACUUUCAUUCUAUUAGUGUUUCGGUAUGUAUUUCUUUUUUAUUUAUUGUACUUUGGAAAUGUGCUUCAUGCCUCUGGAUUCAUGUUUUUCAUAAUUUCUAGAAAGUUCUCAGUCAUUAUCUCUUCAAAUAUUGCCUUUCCUCCAUUAUUUCUAUGUUUUCUUUCUCAGAAUUCAGUUAGUCAUAUUUUGCAUCUCUUCAUUCUAUCUUCCAUAUCUCGUAACAUCUCAUUGAUAUUUUCUAUCUUGUCUUCUUGCACUUCAUUGUGGACAAUUUCUUCAGAUAUAUCUUUCAGCUUAUUGAUUCUCUCUUCAGCUGUGUCUGAUCUGCUGUUUAAUCUGUCCACAGAAUUUUUUAUUUCAACAAUGGUAUUUUUCAUUUGUACAGCCUUCAUAUAUUUCACUUACCAAUCUGCCUGGUCAUCUCUUAAUAGUUUCUUGUUGCUUGCUCAUCUUUGUGGUUGCCUCUGUUAUUUCUUUAAACAUUUUAUACAAUUUUUGUUCAACCAGUGUCACUGUUUGCCUGAGUAUGGCAUUGUAAAUAUUGUUCACAUCCAGACUACAUAGUACAGUCUAAUGACAUAUCCUUUGUUACAUACCUUUUUGUUUUCCUAGUAAUUCCCUCGUUUUUUUGGUUUGUUUUUUUUUUCUUUUGCCUAGUGUUCUAAUACCAUUACUAGGUCUUCUCUGAAAUUCUUUUAAAAAUCCCUAUCAGGCUGUGUCCCUCCUCUGCUCAAAAUUCUCCCAUAACUCCCAUCUCCCUCAGAAUAAAAGCCAAAGCUCUCACCAUGGCCCCAAAGUUUCUACACAAGCUGGUCCCCAUAACCUCUCUGACCUGGCCUCAUAUCACUCUUCCCAUCACUCACUCUUCUCCAGCCACAUUGGCCUCCUUGCUGUCCCUUAAACAUGCCAGAUAUCCCCCCUCUUCAGAGCCUUUGUACUUGCUGUUAUCACUGUCUGGAACACUCUAAAUUGUAGAUAAUCUGAUGACUUGCCCACCCACUUCUAGUAUGCUCAAAUGUCACCUCCCUCGAGAAGCAUUCCCUAACCACCAUAUCUAAAAUAACCCCAUUCACCAGCACUUUCAUCAUCCCCUUAUCCUAUUUAUGGCUUAUGUUUUUCUGCAGAGCACUGAUCACCACCUGAUAUAUUUAUUUAUUUAUUGUGAUUAGUGUUUGUCUGUCCCCAAUAGACUGUAAGCUCCACAAAGCAGGACUCUUGUUUUUGUUCUUUGCUGUAUCCCCAGUGCCGAGAACAGUGCAUAGUAAUAUUGAGUAGAUACUCAAUAAAUAUUUGUGGAAUAAACUGAAUGAAUUAAUG